This 372-nucleotide ribosomal RNA is filed under the name uncultured organism. RNAcentral describes it as "bacterial SSU rRNA". It matches the Rfam family "Bacterial small subunit ribosomal RNA", at positions 526 to 896 of the family's 1533-position model. The record is from RNAcentral.
CAGAGACUGCAAGCGUUAUUCGGAUUCACUGGGCGUAAAGGGUGCGCAGGCGGCCGUGUGUGUGAGGCGUGAAAGCCCGGGGCUUAACCCCGGAAUUGCACCUCAAACUACACGGCUAGAGCAUUGGAGAGGGUAGCAGAAUUCAUGGUGUAGCAGUGAAAUGCGUAGAUAUCAUGAGGAAUACCAGAGGCGAAGGCGGCUACCUGGACAAUUGCUGACGCUCAGGCACGAAAGCGUGGGGAGCAAAAGGGAUUAGAUACCCCUGUAGUCCACGCCCUAAACGGUGCACACUAGGUCUUGGCGGAUUCGACCCCCCCAGGGCCCAAGCUAACGCGUUAAGUGUGCCGCCUGAGGACUACGGCCGCAAGGCUA